This 76-nucleotide transfer RNA is filed under the name Bacilli bacterium. RNAcentral's name for it is "tRNA-Lys". It matches the Rfam family "tRNA". From Rfam's summary of the family: Transfer RNA (tRNA) molecules are approximately 80 nucleotides in length. Their secondary structure includes four short double-helical elements and three loops (D, anti-codon, and T loops). The record is from RNAcentral. Lineage: Bacteria; Bacillati; Bacillota; Bacilli.
GUCAUGCUAGCUCAGUUGGUAGAGAAUCUGACUUUUAAUCAGGGGGUCACAGGUUCGAAUCCUGUGCAGGACACCA